RNAcentral lists this ribosomal RNA (506 nucleotides) under uncultured Glomeromycotina. Its description in RNAcentral is "partial small subunit ribosomal RNA". It matches the Rfam family "Eukaryotic small subunit ribosomal RNA", at positions 591 to 1092 of the family's 1831-position model. Lineage: Eukaryota; Fungi; Glomeromycota. The record is from RNAcentral.
CCAAUAGCGUAUAUUAAAGUUGUUGCAGUUAAAAAGCUCGUAGUUGAAUUUCGGGAUUGACACAUCGGUCGUGCCUUAAGGGGUAUGAACUGGUGUAGUCAAUUUCUCACCUUCUGGAGAACCGCGAUGCCCUUAAUUGGGUGUCACGGGGAACCAGGACCUUUACUUUGAAAAAAUUAGAGUGUUUAAAGCAGGCAUUUUGCUUGAAUACAUUAGCAUGGAAUAAUAAAAUAGGACGGCAUGAUUCUAUUUUGUUGGUUUCUAGGAUCACCGUAAUGAUUAAUAGGGAUAGUUGGGGGCAUUAGUAUUCAGUUGUCAGAGGUGAAAUUCUUGGAUUUAUUGAAGACUAACUACUGCGAAAGCAUUUGCCAAGGAUGUUUUCAUUAAUCAAGAACGAAAGUUAGGGGAUCGAAGACGAUCAGAUACCGUCGUAGUCUUAACCAUAAACUAUGCCGACUAGGAAUCAGACGAUGUUAAUUUUUUAAUGACUCGUUUGGCACCUUACG